AUUCCAGGUGGAUUUUAGAGCAGGAUGUUCCCAGCUCCAAAUUCCAGGUGGAUUUUAGAGCAGGAUGUUCCCAGCUCCAAAUUCCAGGUGGAUGUUGGACAGGAUUUCAGCCCAGCUCCACAAUCAGGUGGAUGUUGGACAGGAUUUCAGCCCAGCUCCAAAUUCCAGGUUUAUUUUAGAGCAGGAUGUUCCCAGCUCCACAAUCAGGUGGAUGUUGGACAGGAUUUCAGCCCAGCUUCAAAUUCCAGGUGGAUGUUGGACAGGAUUUCAGCCCAGCUCCAAAUUCCAGGUUUAUUUUAGAGCAGGAUGUUCCCAGCUCCAAAUUCCAGGUGGAUUUUAGAGCAGGAUGUUCCCAGCUCCAAAUUCCAGGUGGAUGUUGGACAGGAUUCCA
Molecule: long non-coding RNA, 391 nt
Filed under: Zonotrichia albicollis (white-throated sparrow)
Lineage: Eukaryota; Metazoa; Chordata; Aves; Passeriformes; Passerellidae
Description: lncRNA (ENSZALG00000009218.1)
Source: RNAcentral